RNAcentral lists this long non-coding RNA (1611 nucleotides) under Marmota monax (woodchuck). The record is from RNAcentral. Lineage: Eukaryota; Metazoa; Chordata; Mammalia; Rodentia; Sciuridae.
UAAAAUUCAAAAUAUGAAAGGUAAAUAUGUUAUUAUAAAUAAAUGCAAUGAGCCAGAUGUGGUGGCACACACCUGUAAUUCCAGUGGCUCAGAAGGCUGAGGCGGGCAGAUUGCAAAUUUGAGACAAGCCUCAGCAACUCAGUAAGGCCCUUACUAAGCAACUUAGUGAGACCCUGUCUCAAAAUAAAAAAUAAAAAUGGGUAGGGAUUUGGAUCAUUGGUUAAGCAUCCCUGGGUUUAAUCCCUGGUACCAAAAAAGAAAAAAAAAAUAUAUAUAUAUAUACACACACACACACAUAUAUAUAUAUAUAUAUAUACACACACACACACACACAGUGAUAUGAUAGAGCUGGUUUGUAUCCGUUUGGGAAAAAAAAUGGCAAAUGCUACAAAUCAGACUCUUUGGACCCCUCUGCAGAGCCAGUUGUUAAAAAGGGUAAGAGACUAAUGAGACACAGGGUCGAUAUUCCUUCAACAAGGAAUGUUCUCAUACUGCUUUUUUUGUGCACAUAAAAUUAUUUCAUGAAAGUAAAAAACAGGAGUUAGCUAGUUGGAGGCCAGGUUCAUGGUGGCUGGUGGGAGGGUUGUGAGCAGAGGUAACAGCAUAGUGAAUUUCAGAGAGAGCAGUUCAGGCGGUAAAAGUGCUGUGGUCCAUUCUAACUAGCAUGGUACAUGUAGGGUAGGUGGAGGGGGGGAGAGUAGAAAGGGACACAGAGGGCUGGUGUGCCACAGGCGGCAGUUUCACCCUGGGCAGGAGAGACAAGGCAGGCAGAUGGUGAGGGAGCCAUAGUGGUCUUGCUGAAAGAUGCAGCCAGAACACGGCCACGGCUGUGAGAAGUAAGGGCAGAGCAGGGGCCUGAGAGAUGCCCAGGAGGCAGGAUGGACUGGGCUUGGCGAUUGACAGGAAGGGGGUGGUGUCAAACAGGGCUCUGCUGCCAUUAAUGAGAUGAAGCUUGACACAUCCUUGAAGGGUGGUGACUUCCUUCCAAUGAGUGCAAAGUGAAACCGGGGAAGACUAACUACAGCGAGAGAACCAACAGACACUGUGCCAGCAGGUGAGGGAGGUUCACGCCAUCUGUGAUGUCUUGUUGACGGUACAUACCUUUGAUAUGCCGGGCUAAAAUGGCACUUCACUCUGUCAUGUCCCCGUAAGCCAAGUCUACACAUGAGAAAAGCAUCAAAGAAAUCCCAGUUGAAGAUCAUAUAUCUGACCUGUUGAGGUCAUCAAAAACAUGAAGAAUCUAAGAAACUAUCACAUGAAGGGGAGGCAUGACAACUGAUGCGGUCUGGAAGUGGAUUAUCCCCCUGUUAUCAGGUUUGUUCCCAGUGUGGUGCCAUUAGGGAUGUGGAGUCUAGUGGGAGUUGACUGGAUCAUUGGGGGCACUGCUUUUGGAAGGGAUUCUUGUGGGACCCUGGUUGAUUGCUGUGUGAGUGAGUUGUUAUAAAAUGGUUAGUCCUUCCUACUCUCUGACUUCUUGUCUCAUUGUGAGGUCUCUCUCUCACACAUGUGCUCCCCCAAUGAUGCCUACCAUCUGUCAAGAUGGGACAAUCAUGGGUUCCUUGCCUGAACUGGCAUCAUGCUGUUUGGUUCUUUCAACCUCCAAGAUUGUGA